CAGGUCAGUGGCUUUGAAGGUGGCUGUGAGCCCUUUGCCCCCUAUAGCACCAGACAGAAUCAGGGCUGAGAGUGAGAAGCUGUUCUCACAGUCCAGGCCACUGGAGAGUGCUGGGGAAAGGGUUUGCCUUCCUUUGAUUGGAUCCCAGUCAAAUGCUGCUGGCUUCACGAAGCCUUCCUCAACCACUCGGACUCUCCUUCUCUGAACGCCCAUUAAACUGGACGAGCUGCCUGAAUUUGGAAACCUUCUUAAUCAGAAGUGCCUUUUUCCUAAGUGAGUCACAUCGGAAGCCCUUCCCCUCAAGAGCAAUGAUUAUUGCAGGCAUCCCCGAAGA
Molecule: long non-coding RNA, 334 nt
Organism: Diceros bicornis minor
Lineage: Eukaryota; Metazoa; Chordata; Mammalia; Perissodactyla; Rhinocerotidae
Exons: 3
Source: RefSeq, a predicted model, not a curated record